Long non-coding RNA from Sinocyclocheilus grahami, 121 nucleotides. RefSeq lists it as uncharacterized. NCBI's taxonomy places the organism in Eukaryota, Metazoa, Chordata, Actinopteri, Cypriniformes, Cyprinidae. The record is from RefSeq and is a predicted model, not a curated record. The transcript has 3 exons.
UAAAACAUUGUUUUUAUGUUUCUUCUGUGUGCAGUUGUGUUCAUUUGUUUCGAUUUCUCCAUGAGAUUGUCUCACGUGAGUCUCAACUGCCGCGACCUUGUUACUAUUGAUUAUCCAUUAU